This 2484-nucleotide long non-coding RNA is filed under the name Nicotiana benthamiana. RNAcentral describes it as "long non-coding RNA (NBEN_LNC007312)". The record is from RNAcentral. Lineage: Eukaryota; Viridiplantae; Streptophyta; Magnoliopsida; Solanales; Solanaceae.
CCCGAAUUCCAAAUACCAAUUAAAUUAUUAAAAGAGAAAAAGCAAACUGGGCCCAAACGGCUUAAACCAAUGAGCCAAGUAACAGAAGCAUUAUCGAUUCUUGGGAGCUGAGAGUCGAAUCCAUCUAAGCUCACACCCUUUUCCACACUUGGGCCAAAGAAAUGACCCAAGCCUAGUGCCCGCAUCCAGUGCCCGCGUUUCAUUUCAACAGGUGGGCCUUUCACCUAAGGCCUACUUGACCAACGUCCGUACGGGUCAAGGAUCAAGUCCCAGCGACGGGAUAUCGAGCCCACUAGCAUCCAAAUCAUGGUCCAUAGUUAACAACAAUCAGUCAUUAUAAUUUACCAAACCAAAUUGUUCGACAUAAUUAACAGGUCUAUUAACUUAUUUCAAUUGUUUAAUAACCCCUUCCUGCAAUCAUCAAUUUCAAAAUCCUAACUCAAACCUGUUCAGUUAUUCUUAUUGAACUUUAGGGAAAUGACUGCAUAGGAACAGUACAAUGAUUAACUAAACUAACAGCUAACUAAAAUUAAAUGCACAUUCGAAUAUCCAGUUAAAAUUAUACACAACCCUCAUAUUCACCACUGCCAAGCUUGAUUCAAAUUACACAGCUCAGAUUUAUUUACAUAUAAAUUAGAUUCAAACAUAUUAGGCAUACUAUAUCUAAACAUGUAACGGUCUGGACAAAAUCAACUCAGAAAUCAAGUGUUUUCAUUUCGUUCCACUUCAAGGCUACAUCAAGCUUAGUUUGUAUAUGUACCUGGAAGUGCAAAACAGCAAAAAGAAGAAAGGGAAGGGUCAGCAGCAGUUCAAAACAGCCCAACCAGAGCAUCAAGAAACAACAGCAACCCCAGAUGCAGGCAAAAUGGACCCAAAAAUGUUCAACCCAAGCUUAGAAACAAACAGAUCAACCCAGAAAACACACACGAACAACUAGAACCCAGCAAACACUACCAGAAACUUGAAAUCUGAUAAAAAACAGCUUGAAAUUGAAACCCAAACAGCAGAUAGCAAGAGAUCUCAACUGAAACAACCUUCAAACCAAUGGAACAGCCAUUUUGAUUUUCCAUUUUUUGAAUGUUUUUUUUAUUUUUUUUAGUUCUGAACUAAAGGCUGACUGAAACUUAUCAGAGAAAAGAAAAUAAAAGAGCUUUUUUAUGGGGAUUUUGGGCUAAAAGGUUGAAAACCCUUUUACAAGGCACUUAAUGCCUUUAUAUAGGCAAAGAAGAAAGAAAAAUCAGCAAAAAGGUUUUUCAAAUCAGUCCCUCUUCUUUUAUUUAAAACCUUAUAAUUCUAACUUGCUAACCAAGUAAGUACUAUUAAAAAGUUGAAAGCUACACUUUUACCCUAUUCUAGAAGGGUCUAGGAUGCUCUUUUGGCAACGCAAUUCCUAAACUACCCUUCCCUUGUUAUACAAUUACAAAUACUAAAGAUUCUACCCUUUUCUAUCCCUAAAAAGCCCUUGAAACCCCCCUGAAAUUACUGACUGUACCUAACCUCACCCAAACCUUACCCCUUAGCUAAAACUAACUAAGGUUACCUAAAGAGUUGUUCAGCUAUAACCAACAUAAUUCUUCAUUAACACUAAGAUUGAACAACUUAACACUAACUGAAACCACUACCCAAACAACUUCCAAAUCCAAGUCAAACCAGUCUAAUUAACUAACAAUCCAAACUAAUUAAUCAAACGACAGUAAUUAACAACAUGAAAAUCCAUUAAGCUGACAACUAAUAUAAAACCAUCAGAUAAACAGAAAGGAAGAAGUAGAACAAUCUAAGCAGGCAUCAACAUGCUAUCCUUAACACUUCUAUUAGACUAAUAACUAAUAUUAUCUAUAAACGACAUAAAAAUAUGGUUGAUAAACAACUAAUCCGACUAACUAUGCUAACUAUAAAUCAAAACUUUUAAAAUUCUACUGCCAAUUAAACGAUUAAGCUGACAACACAUAACAACACCAAUUAAAAUCACCUACUUAAGAUUUAACCUAAAACAAAUGAAAACAAAAUCAGACUAACUAACAGUUUCCACAAUCAAUCGAAUCAACAGAGAAGAAGAAGAACAAAAAGAAACUAUUAAACUGUGCAAACUAAAGCCAUAACACUAAAAAACUUACCGUAAAAGAAAAUCCCCAAACAACUUCCAAACUUGACGAACCCUAGAUGUGGACUUGAGGGCGGCCCGUUGAGAUUUGAAGUAAAAUGACCAUAGACUCGAGAUGAGGAAAACCCGUAGACUAUAAAGUAUCAAUUUGGUCUUGUUUGGAUGAGUUUGUGACUUAGCCGCAAAUUUCGAUUCGAUUUUCAAAACGUUUGGUUGAUAUUCGAAGGCUAAUAGUUACAUAUUUGGACUGAGGGAGUCGAGGUAGUUCAGGGGUGUGAUUUUCGUGGUGAUUGGAGGCGGCGGCGCCACCGGCGGCUUGGGGAUUUAAGGGCGGUGCCAUUAGGGUUCUUGAAGAUGGGGGGAAUGAAGGAGACGAUGAGGGG